This is a long non-coding RNA of Gallus gallus (chicken), 1612 nucleotides long. The record is from Ensembl. NCBI's taxonomy places the organism in Eukaryota, Metazoa, Chordata, Aves, Galliformes, Phasianidae.
AGCAGCUAGCAGAAUACAAGACCCUCCAAGGACUGAAAUUCAGUAUGUUAUAAAGCCUGUGAGCCAAGACCACAUCCAUCACCAUGGUGAAACUACACAUCUUCCUGAAAAUUCUACUCACCUUCAACACAGACUUCCAUUUCAGAAACCAUUCUGAGGUUUGGAUCUUCUUGACAUAAUGUGAGUUCUUUGUACUCUCUUGUUGUGGGUUCUUUUUAGUAGUUUGAUUUUCCAGGAUGCCAUUCUUAACCGUAGAAUCUGUGCCCCUUCUUUAGUUAGAAACCGGAAUAGUUUGUAAUCAAGGGCUGAUGCUAUUACACAUACGCUGCAUGUAAUUCCCAGCAAAGCAGCUGUUGGUGACACAGUGCAUUUGAUCUUCUAAUAGCUGGGCUCUAUGUCAGAUGUUAAUGUAUUACAGUAUUUUCUUCAAAAGUUCUGUGAAGUUGAUAAAAAGUUUAAUACCAACGCUGCAUUGCAAUGCUUGGUUUGACUCCCUGGAGUUGUAUCCAAAUCUGAAAGUGGACUCUUGUCAGACUUAUUCGAGAAACAGUUGUAUGUAUGUUGUCAGAAUGAUAAGAAACAGUAAAUCAUGCCUUUCCUGUAAAAAUCUCAAGUGUUAAGGACACAACUAUGGAUAGUUUAGGAGAGUAAGGCUUUGCAGAUGUGAGACAGAUUCUGUAGAAAAGUUGGUCUUACCAAAAGAGAGAUUCAUUCUAGGCUGGAUGUGGCUCUGGACAGCCUGGUCUGGUGGCUGGCAACCCUGUGCAUAGCGGGGGGGUUGAAACUCGAUGAUCGUUGUGGUCCUUUUCAACCCAGGCCAUUCUUUGAUUCUACAAUUCUAUGAUUCAUCUACAUUACCUGUGUUAUAAAAGACAAGAAUAUCAAAACAACAACAAAGCAAAUAAGCAAAAAUCACCUUUUUUUUUCCCCUGUAACAAUAGGCAAAAAAUGGUGUAUUGACUCUUUCCCUCUUUCAUUUUUUUAACCAAAAGAAUGCACUAUCUUAGAGAUCAAUCUUAGUAAAUAUAAAUGAAACAUUUUCCAUGACAUGAAAUAAACAGCAUCAUAAUUGUGUAUAAUAUAUUCUAAUUGAGAAUCUUAGUGUUUUGCAAGCAUGCAUCUUGACUUCUUAAGAGUAAUCAGGCAUUCAGAUGUUCUUGAUAUAACAUGGACAUCAAUGAAUGAAAUUGAAUCAAUCAAUUUAAGUUGACUGAAAUGAGUAGAGGAUUUUUUUCUUUUGACAGGAUAAUUGAGGCACGAAAUGCUUUCCAGGAAGCUGGACUAAAGAUUUUGAUUUUAAACCAGUAUCCAGAAUACCUAUUUGUAACCAUGACAGUCAGUCCAUUCAGCAGAUCUUCCUGUGUGCAUCUUCAGGCUUUGGACAAGCAUGGGUCUUUUCUUGCUUUGAGAACCUCAUCCUCCUUACAGAAGUGCUGACCGAGUGCAGUUCGGUGUACUCUUUACAGCAGGAGGCACUGUGACAGUUUAGGACAUUGCUCCUUAAUGUAAUUUGAAAUGAAAGAGAUCACUCUCUCCUUGUGUGUGUUCUUGUCUAUCUUAUGUCUCUGGUGUUUUUCUUUACAGACAAAAGCCAGGAAAGAAAUAAACUGAC